CAAUAAAUUCUUUGUUGUUUACACUUUAUCUAUGAAACCCUAAAGAAAUGCUCUCUGCCUCUUCUGCUCGCGAUGAACACAGAACAUAGUUCUUUCUUCCUCCUUCAAAAUGAACAGUGGCUUCCUCCUCUAUUCCCCUCCAUUCCCACCGAUCAAUUCGAGGCGGCGACGACAUACUCCCUCCUUCUUCAAACGAACGGUGGCCAACCCCUCAUUCUUCUCUUUCUCAGAUGCGACGGUGGUGGUUCAUCAAAGUCCAACGAGCUUCUCCGAUCAAAAUCUCUCCGAUUCAACUUCCUUUUUCGAUCUCUGAGUUAUUGUUCAUAUGUUGUUGGUGCUGAAGCCGAUCUUGUUCGGAGCCCGUUGCAUUCGGUUUCGUGUUUGAUUCGAGAUGAACAUUGAUGGUUGUUGAGGAUGAAUGUUGCGGUGGUGAAGCUGAAUAGAAACUCACGGUUUUAACAUCUGGUGAGAUCUUUCUGAUUCUGUUAUGUGUUUUUGAAUCUACAGAUCUGUCUUUCUUUGUCUCUUUUACACUAUCUCCGAUUCAAUUUUCUGAAGGUUUUGAUUAUUUUGAGAAAAAGAUGAUUUAGGGUUCUGAUUGUUGGUUUUGCGGCUAGGUUUGAAGAUGAUGAACAAUAGUUUCUUUUGGGAAUUUUGCAGUGAUUGCUUUUAUAUGCAGGGAAUUUGGUUUUCUUCUAUUUACAAGCCUGUUCUGAAAUUCUCUAUUGGGCUUUUCAAAUGUUUUUUUGAUGGUAUUCCUUUGGUACUGAACAGUAAAUGUGAUGGUUUUUUUUUUUGUUUUUGUUCAGUUUCAGUUUUAUGAAUAUGUAAGCUUCUCCCUGAUGGUCCCAUGCUGCAGAGAAGUUCUAUGAAACAAGAGAACAGCAGCUGGAGGAAUAGAAAGAAAAAUUGUAGUAAAAUAGAAUGAAGCAGUAGAAUUAUACAACUACAAAUUGUCAAAGGGGUUAGCUUCUCAUUUUCUCAUUUAUUUGGCUCAUCAUCUUAAGAUAAAAAGCAUGUUCUGGACUUUUCAAAGUUAUUGCAUCACUUGUGGGCUUUUUGAUUUCAUUUGUUGCAAGCUGUUUGUUUUGUUUGACAGGUUUGAUACAAGGCGUACAAUGAAGCUAGCUCAGGGCUAUGUUCUAAGAGUUCUUAGGUUCAAACUUCACAAGCUGCGAAGCUGAAGUUUAAGCUUUCAAUAAAGUAAGAGGCUGCCUGGAUCUCAUUUGACUUUUCAUUGAAUAGCUCCUUGCAGCAUUCACUUUCAGCUUUAAUGAGCAAAUGCUUGGGGGCGUGGUAAUGUAUCAGUUAGUUAUGGAGCUCGAGAGAUGGCUUCAAUAUUGGAUACUGCUCUGCUCCAAGCAUUGCUUCUUACUGGACUAUCUUCAGCAACUUUAGAAUUUUUUAGAGGUGUUAAUUACUGUGAUAUGAAAAUAUGUGAAGAAAUAGUUCAAACAACCCAAGCUUAGUUGCAUAAAAAGCUUUUAUUUUAUAUUC
Vicia villosa (hairy vetch) is the source of this 1497-nucleotide long non-coding RNA. RefSeq lists it as uncharacterized. Lineage: Eukaryota; Viridiplantae; Streptophyta; Magnoliopsida; Fabales; Fabaceae. The transcript is spliced from 3 exons. The record is from RefSeq and is a predicted model, not a curated record.